This 130-nucleotide transfer RNA is filed under the name Hansschlegelia beijingensis. RNAcentral's name for it is "tRNA-Gly". The record is from RNAcentral. Lineage: Bacteria; Pseudomonadati; Pseudomonadota; Alphaproteobacteria; Hyphomicrobiales; Methylopilaceae.
GCGGGCGGACACCGCAUCUUGCUUUUCGUUCCUUUUUGAACAGUUUCUGGAUUUCGGCGAACGUUGGCGGACAUACGGCCGCACCUUGCCAAGGUUGGGGUCGAGGGUUCGAAUCCCUUCGCCCGCUCCA